UACGUAGGGUGCGAGCGUUGUCCGGAAUUAUUGGGCGUAAAGGGCUCGUAGGCGGUUUGUCGCGUCGGGAGUGAAAUCAUCUGGCUUAACUGGGUGCUUGCUUUCGAUACGGGCAGACUAGAGGUAUGCAGGGGAGAACGGAAUUCCUGGUGUAGCGGUGAAAUGCGCAGAUAUCAGGAGGAACACCGGUGGCGAAGGCGGUUCUCUGGGCAUGACCUGACGCUGAGGAGCGAAAGCGUGGGGAGCGAACAGG
RNAcentral lists this ribosomal RNA (253 nucleotides) under uncultured bacterium. RNAcentral describes it as "partial 16S ribosomal RNA". It matches the Rfam family "Bacterial small subunit ribosomal RNA", at positions 524 to 776 of the family's 1533-position model. The record is from RNAcentral.